RNAcentral lists this unclassified non-coding RNA (379 nucleotides) under uncultured Gemmatimonadaceae bacterium. Its description in RNAcentral is "contains 16S-23S intergenic spacer region". Lineage: Bacteria; Pseudomonadati; Gemmatimonadota; Gemmatimonadia; Gemmatimonadales; Gemmatimonadaceae. The record is from RNAcentral.
UCCGGUUUGGCACCGGCAGUCCCCCUAGAGUUCCCGGCCGAACCGCUGGCAACUAGGGGCGAGGGUUGCGCUCGUUGCGGGACUUAACCCAACAUCUCACGACACGAGCUGACGACAGCCAUGCAGCACCUGUGCACGGACCCCGAAGGGAGCCUCAGGUUUCCCCGAGGUGUCCCGUGCAUGUCAAGCCUAGGUAAGGUUCUUCGCGUUGCGUCGAAUUAAACCACAUGCUCCACCGCUUGUGCGGGCCCCCGUCAAUUCCUUUGAGUUUCAGCCUUGCGGCCGUACUCCCCAGGCGGGGCACUUAAUGCGUUAGCGCCGGCACUCAGGGGGUCGCUCCCCCAAGCACCUAGUGCCCAUCGUUUACGGCGUGGACUAC